UUCAGCCACACGCCGAAUCCUGCCGGUGGCCGGAGGUCAUACGUCGCGACAGCGCCGAAGGCAGGAGCGGGGGACCCAAGGUAAGUCGCCGGCCCCGCCCGCGGAAGCGGGACAGCCGGCUUGGGGUGAAGCCGCGUGGAGGUUCACGCGGCCGGGCCACUCACAGCCCGAACCCGACAGCUCACCUCGUAGGCGUCGGUGAGGAAACGA
RNAcentral lists this small RNA (210 nucleotides) under Streptomyces rimosus. Its description in RNAcentral is "c-di-AMP sequence". The stretch from base 43 to 210 matches the Rfam family "c-di-AMP riboswitch aptamer (ydaO/yuaA leader)". Rfam says of the family: This family represents a conserved RNA structure found upstream of the ydaO and yuaA genes in Bacillus subtilis and related genes in other bacteria. The ydaO/yuaA element is thought to act as a genetic "off" switch for the ydaO and yuaA genes in its native state. It is believed that the element may be triggered during osmotic shock leading to activation of ydaO, a predicted amino acid transporter gene, and members of the yuaA-yubG operon which code for KtrA and KtrB K+ transporters. The record is from RNAcentral. Lineage: Bacteria; Bacillati; Actinomycetota; Actinomycetes; Kitasatosporales; Streptomycetaceae.